Molecule: ribosomal RNA, 498 nt
Filed under: uncultured bacterium
Lineage: Bacteria
Description: partial 16S ribosomal RNA
Rfam family: Bacterial small subunit ribosomal RNA
Source: RNAcentral
AUUGAACGCUGGCGGCAUGCCUUACACAUGCAAGUCGAACGGUAACAGGUCUUCAGAUGCUGACGAGUGGCGAACGGGUGAGUAAUACAUCGGAACGUGCCUAGUAGUGGGGGAUAACUACUCGAAAGAGUGGCUAAUACCGCAUGUGAUCUACGGAUGAAAGCAGGGGAUCGCAAGACCUUGUGCUACUAGAGCGGCCGAUGGCAGAUUAGGUAGUUGGUGGGAUAAAAGCUUACCAAGCCGACGAUCUGUAGCUGGUCUGAGAGGACGAUCAGCCACACUGGGACUGAGACACGGCCCAGACUCCUACGGGAGGCAGCAGUGGGGAAUUUUGGACAAUGGGCGAAAGCCUGAUCCAGCAAUGCCGCGUGCAGGAUGAAGGCCUUCGGGUUGUAAACUGCUUUUGUACGGAACGAAAAGCCCCGGGUUAAUACCCUGGGGUCAUGACGGUACCGUAAGAAUAAGCACCGGCUAACUACGUGCCAGCCGCCGCGGUAA